GCAAGUCGAACGAACUUCCGUUAAUUGAUUAUGACGUACUUGUACUGAUUGAGAUUUUAACACGAAGUGAGUGGCGAACGGGUGAGUAACACGUGGGUAACGCUGCCCAGAAGUAGGGGAUAACACCUGGAAACAGAUGCUAAUACCGUAUAACAGAGAAAACCGCAUGGUUUUCUUUUAAAAGAUGGCUCUGCUAUCACUUCUGGAUGGACCCGCGGCGUAUUAGCUAGUUGGUGAGGCAAAGGCUCACCAAGGCAGUGAUACGUAGCCGACCUGAGAGGGUAAUCGGCCACAUUGGGACUGAGACACGGCCCAGACUCCUACGGGAGGCAGCAGUAGGGAAUCUUCCACAAUGGACGCAAGUCUGAUGGAGCAACGCCGCGUGAGUGAAGAAGGGUUUCGGCUCGUAAAGCUCUGUUGUUAAAGAAGAACGUGGGUAAGAGUAACUGUUUACCCCAGUGACGGUAUUUAACCAGAAAGCCACGGCUAACUACGUGCCAGCAGCCGCGGUAAUACGUAGGUGGCAAGCGUUAUCCGGAUUUAUUGGGCGUAAAGCGAGCGCAGGCGGUCUUUUAAGUCUAAUGUGAAAGCCUUCGGCUCAACCGAAGAAGUGCAUUGGAAACUGGGAGACUUGAGUGCAGAAGAGGACAGUGGAACUCCAUGUGUAGCGGUGAAAUGCGUAGAUAUAUGGAAGAACACCAGUGGCGAAGGCGGCUGUCUGGUCUGCAACUGACGCUGAGGCUCGAAAGCAUGGGUAGCGAACAGGAUUAGAUACCCUGGUAGUCCAUGCCGUAAACGAUGAUUACUAAGUGUUGGAGGGUUUCCGCCCUUCAGUGCUGCAGCUAACGCAUUAAGUAAUCCGCCUGGGGAGUACGACCGCAAGGUUGAAACUCAAAAGAAUUGACGGGGGCCCGCACAAGCGGUGGAGCAUGUGGUUUAAUUCGAAGCUACGCGAAGAACCUUACCAGGUCUUGACAUCUUCUGACAGUCUAAGAGAUUAGAGGUUCCCUUCGGGGACAGAAUGACAGGUGGUGCAUGGUUGUCGUCAGCUCGUGUCGUGAGAUGUUGGGUUAAGUCCCGCAACGAGCGCAACCCUUAUUACUAGUUGCCAGCAUUAAGUUGGGCACUCUAGUGAGACUGCCGGUGACAAACCGGAGGAAGGUGGGGACGACGUCAAAUCAUCAUGCCCCUUAUGACCUGGGCUACACACGUGCUACAAUGGAUGGUACAACGAGUCGCGAAACCGCGAGGUUAAGCUAAUCUCUUAAAACCAUUCUCAGUUCGGACUGUAGGCUGCAACUCGCCUACACGAAGUCGGAAUCGCUAGUAAUCGCGGAUCAGCAUGCCGCGGUGAAUACGUUCCCGGGCCUUGUACACACCGCCCGUCACACCAUGAGAGUUUGUAACACCCAAAGCCGGUGG
This 1422-nucleotide ribosomal RNA is filed under the name Pediococcus sp. Its description in RNAcentral is "bacterial SSU rRNA". It matches the Rfam family "Bacterial small subunit ribosomal RNA", at positions 57 to 1433 of the family's 1533-position model. Lineage: Bacteria; Bacillati; Bacillota; Bacilli; Lactobacillales; Lactobacillaceae. The record is from RNAcentral.